This 53-nucleotide small nucleolar RNA is filed under the name Drosophila melanogaster (fruit fly). Its description in RNAcentral is "partial small nucleolar RNA snoR165". Lineage: Eukaryota; Metazoa; Arthropoda; Insecta; Diptera; Drosophilidae. The record is from RNAcentral.
CUGACUCUUGGAUGAACUAACCACAUCUAAGGGCCACGAGCCCAAGGACAGGA